Molecule: long non-coding RNA, 525 nt
Filed under: Manacus vitellinus (golden-collared manakin)
Lineage: Eukaryota; Metazoa; Chordata; Aves; Passeriformes; Pipridae
Description: lncRNA (ENSMVIG00005017466.1)
Source: RNAcentral
GUCAUGUUUUUUUCUGUUCUCUUACACUAUGAUAAACAUCUGAUCCAUACUACACACUUUUUUUUCAACUCCUGUGGCACAUCUGGUCUGAGGAGAAGCAGGACUGUAGGAGACAGCUCCAAAAGGAUUCCACCAGACAGUGAGAAAAAGGAACACAACAGGGCAUAAGGCCAAGUUAAAAGACUGUACUCACAGCCCACCCACCGGGACACAGAAAGGCAAUGACUCAAAGCCCUGUGCAGGUAAUGUGCAACUACAGAGGCUGAACUACUUGGAGGAUAACCUCAGCUACGCUAGGAGAAAGAAAACCGAAGAUAAUGGAAAAGAAACAGCUAUAAUAACCAUCUGCAAGCACACAUGGUCUCUACUUCAGCACCCAUAAAACUUAAAAGGAUAAAAGAAAAGGAAAUUGCUUGCAAAAUAGCAAAGACAAUUUUAUAAACAUUUCUUCUUAUACUUUUGUAGGGUUGCCCUGUUUCUGCUGUUAGGAGUACUGUGUGUAUUAGCAUUUAUUGUGGAGAGAGG